AUACGGAGGACGCGAGCGUUAUCCGGAUUCAUUGGGUUUAAAGGGUGCGCAGGCGGCCGUGCAAGUCAGCGGUGAAAGCCCGGGGCCCAACCCCGGAAGUGCCGUUGAUACUGCAUGGCUUGAAUGCGGUCGAGGCGGGCGGGACGUGGCGUGUAGCGGGGAAAUGCGUAGAGAUGCCACAGAACGCCGAUAGCGGAGGCAGCUCGCCAGGCCUGCAUUGACGCUCGGGCACGAAAGCGUGGGGAUCGAACAGGAUUAGAUACCCUGGUAGUCCACGCCGUAAACGAUGGGCGCUCGUCGUCGGCGGCAGACAGUCGGCGGCCAAGCGAAAGCGAUAAGCGCCCCACCUGGGGAGUACGGUCGCAAGGCUGAAACUCAAAUGAAUUGACGGGG
Molecule: ribosomal RNA, 393 nt
Filed under: uncultured bacterium
Lineage: Bacteria
Description: partial 16S ribosomal RNA
Rfam family: Bacterial small subunit ribosomal RNA
Source: RNAcentral